UGCAAGUCGAGCGCUGGAGCGUUUCCUUCGGGAAACAAUCCGGAGCGGCGGACGGGUGAGUAACACGUAGGCAACCUGCCCGUAAGACUGGGAUAACUACCGGAAACGGUAGCUAAUACCGGAUAGGUGGCUUCUUCGCAUGGAGAGGCCAAGAAACGCGGUUCCGAUUCSUUCGGGGCUGCGGCUUACGGAUGGGCCUGCGGCGCAUUAGCUAGUUGGCAGGGUAAUGGCCUACCAAGGCGACGAUGCGUAGCCGACCUGAGAGGGUGAUCGGCCACACUGGGACUGAGACACGGCCCAGACUCCUACGGGAGGCAGCAGUAGGGAAUCUUCCGCAAUGGGCGAAAGCCUGACGGAGCAACGCCGCGUGAGUGAUGAAGGUUUUCGGAUCGUAAAGCUCUGUUGCCAAGGAAGAACGGCCCGGAGGGUAACUACUCCGGGAGUGACGGUACUUGAGAAGAAAGCCCCGGCUAACUACGUGCCAGCAGCCGCGGUAAUACGUAGGGGGCAAGCGUUGUCCGGAAUUAUUGGGCGUAAAGCGCGCGCAGGCGGUCUGUUAAGUCUUGUGUUUAAGCCCGGGGCUCAACCCCGGUUCGCAUGGGAAACUGGCAGUACUUGAGUGCAGGAGAGGAAAGCGGAAUUCCACGUGUAGCGGUGAAAUGCGUAGAGAUGUGGAGGAACAC
This 683-nucleotide ribosomal RNA is filed under the name Paenibacillus pueri. RNAcentral's name for it is "bacterial SSU rRNA". It matches the Rfam family "Bacterial small subunit ribosomal RNA", at positions 56 to 709 of the family's 1533-position model. The record is from RNAcentral. Lineage: Bacteria; Bacillati; Bacillota; Bacilli; Caryophanales; Paenibacillaceae. RNAcentral also lists the same sequence under 1 other name.